Molecule: long non-coding RNA, 493 nt
Filed under: Hordeum vulgare
Lineage: Eukaryota; Viridiplantae; Streptophyta; Magnoliopsida; Poales; Poaceae
Description: long non-coding RNA (HVUL_LNC011209)
Source: RNAcentral
GACGAGUGCGGCCAGGAAGACAACGUCGUACUUGGCGAGCUCGCCGGCGAGGUCCGCGACGUCGGCCGUGUGGAACGACAUGCGGGCACCCACGUCCGCAUCCGCGCGGAAGAGCUUGCUGGCGCGAUCGUUGGCCGCGCCGCACAGGUCAUAGUUGUCGAACAUGGUGUCGGGCAGGUGGCGCGCGGCCAGGACAAAGGAGCUGAACGGCAGCGGGCCGGAGCCGAUGAACGCGACGCGGGCCGGGGCGAUGCCGCCAGGCACGUAGCGGGCCAGGAGCUCGUACUCGAGCUUGCUGAGGUUGAUGUAGUUGUUGUAGUAGGGGAACAUGCCGAGGUGAUCCAGCGGCUUGUCGAAGGCGGCGAGCAUGUCGGAGUAGUGCGCCUCCAGCUUCCCCUCGGCCUCGGAGCAUAGGCGGAUGAGGCCCUCCCGCAUCUCCUGCGCCUCCGGCCCGAGCUUGGUCACGUCCACUGGACUCGGUGGAACGCACGCC